Molecule: non-coding RNA, 69 nt
Organism: Rattus norvegicus (Norway rat)
Lineage: Eukaryota; Metazoa; Chordata; Mammalia; Rodentia; Muridae
Source: Rfam
GGGGAUUUGGCUCAGUGGUAGAGCGCUUGCCUAGGAAGCACAAGGUCCUGGGUUCGGUCCCCAGCCCUG